GACGAACGCUGGCGGCGUGCUUAACACAUGCAAGUCGAACGGAAAGGCCCUGCUUUUGUGGGGUGCUCGAGUGGCGAACGGGUGAGUAACACGUGAGUAACCUGCCCUUGACUUUGGGAUAACUUCAGGAAACUGGGGCUAAUACCGGAUAGGAGCUCCUGCUGCAUGGUGGGGGUUGGAAAGUUUCGGCGGUUGGGGAUGGACUCGCGGCUUAUCAGCUUGUUGGUGGGGUAGUGGCUUACCAAGGCUUUGACGGGUAGCCGGCCUGAGAGGGUGACCGGCACCAUUGGGCCUGAGUUCCGGCCCAGACUCCUCCGGGAGGCAGCGGUGGGGAUUUUUGCACAAUGGGCGGAGGCCUGAUGCAGCAACGCCGCGUGCGGGAUGACGGCCUUCGGGUUGUAACCCGCUUUCGCCUGUGACGAAGCGUGAGUGCCGGUAAUGGGUAAAGAAGCACCGGCUAACUACGU
RNAcentral lists this ribosomal RNA (467 nucleotides) under uncultured bacterium. Its description in RNAcentral is "partial 16S ribosomal RNA". It matches the Rfam family "Bacterial small subunit ribosomal RNA", at positions 28 to 506 of the family's 1533-position model. The record is from RNAcentral.